AGCUCCAAUAGCAUAUAUUAAAGUUGUUGCGGUUAAAAGCUCGUAGUUGGAUUUCUGCUGAGGACGAUCGGUCCGCCCUCUGGGUGAGUAUCUGGCUCGGCCUUUGCAUCUUCUUGAAGAACGUAACUGCACUUGACUGUGUGGUGCGGUAUGCAAGACUUUUACUUUGAGGAAAUUAGAAUGUUUGAAGUAGGCACAUGCCUUGAAUACAUUAGCAUGGAAUAAUGAGAUAGGACCUUGGCUCUAUUUUGUUGGUUUCUAGAAUUGAGGUAAUGAUUAAUAGGGAUAGUUGGGGGCAUUCGUAUUCAAACGACAGAGGUGAAAUUCUUGGACCGUUUGAAGACAAACUACUGCGAAAGCAUUUGCCAAGAAUGUUUUCA
RNAcentral lists this ribosomal RNA (380 nucleotides) under uncultured eukaryote. Its description in RNAcentral is "SSU rRNA". It matches the Rfam family "Eukaryotic small subunit ribosomal RNA", at positions 587 to 972 of the family's 1831-position model. The record is from RNAcentral.